This is a non-coding RNA of Ixodes scapularis (black-legged tick), 73 nucleotides long. NCBI's taxonomy places the organism in Eukaryota, Metazoa, Arthropoda, Arachnida, Ixodida, Ixodidae. The record is from Rfam.
CCCUGGUUAAUUCAGUUGGUAGAGCACUCCUCUGAAAAUGGAGAGAUCCCGGGUUCGAUAUCCGGACCAGGCG